RNAcentral lists this long non-coding RNA (1598 nucleotides) under Pan troglodytes (chimpanzee). RNAcentral describes it as "long non-coding RNA NONPTRT004958". Lineage: Eukaryota; Metazoa; Chordata; Mammalia; Primates; Hominidae. The record is from RNAcentral.
GCCCUUGAGGUCCACUUUGGGCAUCUUGAAACUGGGCAUCUGCACCUUGGGCAGGUGCCCUUUGAGGCUGGCUCCCUCAGGCAGGGGGCCCUCCGAGAGUUUCAUGUCCACUUGGCCGUCCUGGACCUCCAGGUGAGCGGAAGGGGUCUGAACACUGAGGUCAGUAGUCUUGAGGUCCCCCUGCAUGGAGGGGAGGCUCACGUCGGCCUCCACCUUCAGCGCAGACACAUCCACCGAGGCCUCCAUGGACUUGACUGGGGCUGAAGCCCCAAACGAUGGCAUCUUGAACUUGGGCAUUUUGAACUUGCUGUCUUUGGUGGCCACUUCCUUUUCUUUCAGAAUUUGUUCCUUUUUUAAGCGUUUUUCGUCGUGUAUUAGUUGUAUUUUUGUUGUGUUUUGUCAUUGAGUCACUGUCUUCUUUGUCUUUUAAUCCUUCCUCUGUGCGUCUCUGUUCUCUUCUAUCAGCUGUUGCUGUGGCCUCUCCUUCCUUUCCCUGCUCUGUGUCUUCUGUGGCUUUUUCUCUGCCUGUCUUUGUGUGCUUGCUUGGCGACCAUCCUAAGGAGGGUAUCUUGAACUUGGGCAUUCUUAUCUGUCCUUCUGUGUCUUCCCCGCCCUUGUCCUGUUCCUCAGUGAUCCCUGUCCUCUGUAGUCCUUCCUCUCCAUCUCCUUCACCCUCCUGUGCUUCUGCAUGUGUGGGUGGUUCCCUGCCCGGCACCCACCCUGCUCCUUCCACCUCCUCACCCUUCAGGCCAGUACCCGCUUUUGAGGACGCAUCCUGUCUCUUCCCUCGCUGUGGGGUACUAAGGCGCCUUUCUCCUUCUGGCUCUUUUUCUGUGGAAAAUGCAAAUUUUGGUGUCUUUAAAUCGUGUAUUCGCACCCUAAUUUCUGGUGGGCCAAUCUGUGUGCCUCCUUCGGUUGUGUCUCUCAAGGACAGUCUGGCGAUCCCGAUUUCCAGGCUCUGCAGUCCCUCGCCUUCACCCUCCCAGCUCAUUCCAGGAGUUGGCUGGGCCCUGGGCUUCCUCUGGGCCACUGCUGUCUCCUGUGCCUGCCCCUCCAGGGUCUUUCCGUGGAGCCUGGCUGCCCUGAGUCCCCCUUCCUGAGGGGUUCCCUCGCAAAGUCUAGGGUCGCCGAGCUCUGUGGGCAACUGCAUGCUCUGAGCAGGCAUCACUUCUCGAUCCUGUUCUGCCCUCUCCUCUCUCCUCCUGCCUGUGGCAGCCCCAGUGUCCUCGAGGCUAACACCCCAGGGCCCCAACUCUUCCAGGACCCCAGCACGGCCCACCCCACUCUGGGACCCCCUGCCUGGCUGUCCUGUCGAUGAAGGGUCCUGUCCUGAGCCUGUCCUGAAUCUCAGGUUGAGGAACUUCCGCCUCCUCUGGCUGCCCGGCCCUGCCUUCUGCUCUUGGCGCUCCACCGUGAGCUGGGCCUCUGUGUCUGUGCUUGUAGGGGACACGUCAUGUGCGUCCCUGGGCUCGUAGGCCUCUGAUGAGCUGUGUGACCUCUGGGGUCCUGGCCCCCGCUUGCUCUUUAUGGAUUGAAAUUUUGGCCAAGAGAGCCUCUCCCUCUGGGUCUGCCUGCUUCUCCCCACCCUGGGUUUGGAG